GGCGAGUGAAGCGGCAAAAGCUCAAAUUUGAAAUCUAGUACCUUCGGUGCUCGAGUUGUAAUUUGGAGAUAGUUUUCUGGUGCUGGCCCUUGUCUAUGUUCCUUGGAACAGGACGUCAUAGAGGGUGAGAAUCCCGUCUGAUGGGGUGUCCAGUGCUUUGUAGAUUUCUAUCGAAGAGUCGAGUUGUUUGGGAAUGCAGCUCUAAGUGGGUGGUAAAUUCCAUCUAAAGCUAAAUAUUGGCGAGAGACCGAUAGCGAACAAGUACAGUGAUGGAAAGAUGAAAAGAACUUUGAAAAGAGAGUGAAAAAGUACGUGAAAUUGUUGAAAGGGAAGGAUAUUGGAUCAGACUUGGUGUUUUGUGAUUAUCUUCCCUUCUUGGGUUGUGCACUCGCAUUUCACUGGGCCAGCAUCGAUUCGGAUGGCAAGAUAAUGGCUUGGGAACGUGGCUCUCUUCGGGGAGUGUUAUAGCCCUUGUUGAUGUUGCCUAUCUGGAUCGAGGACUGCGGC
RNAcentral lists this ribosomal RNA (507 nucleotides) under Petasospora sp. RNAcentral describes it as "LSU rRNA". It matches the Rfam family "Eukaryotic large subunit ribosomal RNA", at positions 88 to 600 of the family's 3401-position model. The record is from RNAcentral. Lineage: Eukaryota; Fungi; Ascomycota; Saccharomycetes; Phaffomycetales; Wickerhamomycetaceae.